This is a long non-coding RNA of Strongylocentrotus purpuratus (purple sea urchin), 450 nucleotides long. RefSeq lists it as uncharacterized. The transcript is spliced from 4 exons. The record is from RefSeq and is a predicted model, not a curated record. Lineage: Eukaryota; Metazoa; Echinodermata; Echinoidea; Camarodonta; Strongylocentrotidae.
GUUAGCAUACCUCGGGCUUGGACUUGUAUUCUAAGCAUCUCUUAGUGAUCCUCAAUUUUUAGACGAACUGGUUGUUAUCAAACAUCUCUGUAUUAAGGAUACUUGAAAUCGCCUCUGGUAGAGGAAGGACGCCCUCAAGCAUGGGGUCCAUACUAAAGCUACAUGUAGUUGCAGCCAUCGUUGUGAUAGUGAGUGGAGUUCAAACAGUCAGAGUGUCAGCAUUACAUGGCGUACAUGAUGCCUGUCCUCAUGUGACUAUGUCAUGUCCUUCGAUCACUCUGGAGAGCGGUGAGACUGUAGAAUUGAUCCCGAAACCGAUGCAACCCGAUUUGGACUGGUUAAAAGCCAACCUCCCAGCAGGCCUGCCAAUUUCUGAUGAUGUCCGGCUUUACUUUUGCAGCGAACCAGCAUGCCUCUCAAACCCUUGUCUUCAUGGAGACACUUGCGAGG